RNAcentral lists this ribosomal RNA (468 nucleotides) under uncultured bacterium. Its description in RNAcentral is "partial 16S ribosomal RNA". It matches the Rfam family "Bacterial small subunit ribosomal RNA", at positions 28 to 507 of the family's 1533-position model. The record is from RNAcentral.
GACGAACGCUGGCGGCGUGCUUAACACAUGCAAGUCGAACGGAAAGGCCCUGCUUUUGUGGGGUGCUCGAGUGGCGAACGGGUGAGUAACACGUGAGUAACCUGCCCUUGACUUUGGGAUAACUUCAGGAAACUGGGGCUAAUACCGGAUAGGAGCUCCUGCUGCAUGGUGGGGGUUGGAAAGUUUCGGCGGUUGGGGAUGGACUCGCGGCUUAUCAGCUUGUUGGUGGGGUAGUGGCUUACCAAGGCUUUGACGGGUAGCCGGCCUGAGAGGGUGACCGGGGAGAGUGGGAAGGAGAGAAGGAGGAGAGUCGUACGGGAGGAAGCAGUGGGGGAGAGGGAAAAGUGGGCGGAAGCCGGAUGCAGCAACGCCGGGUGCGGGAGGAAGGGCGUCGGGUUGGAAAAAGAAGUCGCAGGUGACGAAGCGGGAGGGAAGGUAAUGGGUAAAGAAGCAAAGGCUAACUACGGG